RNAcentral lists this ribosomal RNA (432 nucleotides) under uncultured bacterium. Its description in RNAcentral is "partial 16S ribosomal RNA". It matches the Rfam family "Bacterial small subunit ribosomal RNA", at positions 29 to 506 of the family's 1533-position model. The record is from RNAcentral.
AGCGAACGCUGGCGGCAGGCCUAACACAUACAAGUCGAACGAACUCUUCGGAGUUAGUGGCGGACGGGUGAGUAACACGUGGGAACGUGCCUUUUGGUUCGGAAUAACCCAGGGAAACUUGUGCUAAUACCGAAUGUGCCCUUCGGGGGAAAGAUUUAUCGCCAUUAGAGCGGCCCGCGUCUGAUUAGCUAGUUGGUGAGGUAACGGCUCACCAAGGCGACGAUCAGUAGCUGGUCUGAGAGGAUUACCAGCCACACUGGGACUGAGACACGGCCCAGACUCCUACGGGAGGCAGCAGUGGGGAAUCUUGCGCAAUGGGCGAAAGCCUGACGCAGCCAUGCCGCGUGAAUGAUGAAGGUCUUAGGAUUGUAAAAUUCUUUCACCGGGGACGAUAAUGACGGUACCCGGAGAAGAAGCCCCGGCUAACUUCGU